This 443-nucleotide ribosomal RNA is filed under the name uncultured bacterium. RNAcentral's name for it is "partial 16S ribosomal RNA". It matches the Rfam family "Bacterial small subunit ribosomal RNA", at positions 338 to 795 of the family's 1533-position model. The record is from RNAcentral.
CCUACGGGAGGCAGCAGUGGGGAAUAUUGGGCAAUGGAGGAAACUCUGACCCAGCAACGCCGCGUGAAUGAUGAAGGUCUUCGGAUUGUAAAGUUCUUUUCUAAGGGAAGAAGAAAGUGACGGUACCUUAGGAAUAAGCCUCGGCUAACUACGUGCCAGCAGCCGCGGUAAUACGUAGGAGGCGGGCGUUAAGCGGAAUGACUGGGCGUAAAGGGUGCGUAGGUGGUUUGGCAAGUUAGUAGCGAAACUCCAAGGCUCAACCUUGGAACUGCAACUAAAACUGUUGGUCUUGAGUGCGGGAGGGGUAAGCGGAAUUCCUGGUGUAGCGGUGGAAUGCGUAGAUAUUAGGAGGAACACCGGUGGCGAAGGCGGGUUGCUAGACUGUAACUGACGCUGAGGCACGAAAGCGUGGGGAGCGAACAGGAUUAGAUACCCCGGUAGUC